RNAcentral lists this ribosomal RNA (1487 nucleotides) under bacterium. RNAcentral's name for it is "bacterial SSU rRNA". It matches the Rfam family "Bacterial small subunit ribosomal RNA". The record is from RNAcentral.
UAACUUAAGAGUUUGAUUAUGGCUCAGAACGAACGCUGGCGGCAUGCCUCAUACAUGCAAGUCGAACGAGGUCUUCGGACCUAGUGGCGCACGGGUGAGUAACAUGUGGGAAUCUACCUGAAGGUUCGGAAUAACUGCGGGAAACUGUAGCUAAUACCGGAUGUGUCUGCAAAGAGAAAGAUUUAUCGCCUUCAGAUGAGCCCGCACUAGAUUAGCUAGUUGGUGAGGUAAUUGCUCCACCAAGGCUACGAUCUAUAGCUGAUUUGAGAGGAUGAUCAGCCACACUGGGACUGAGACACGGCCCAGACUCCUACGGGAGGCAGCAGUAGGGAAUAUUGGACAAUGGGGGAAACCCUGAUCCAGCAAUGCCGCGUGAGUGAAGAAGGCCUUCGGGUUGUAAAACUCUUUCAUCAAUGAUGAUAAUGACAUUAGUUGAAGAAGAAGCUCCGGCUAACUUCGUGCCAGCAGCCGCGGUAAUACGAAGGGGGCUAGCGUUGUUCGGAAUCACUGGGCGUAAAGCGUAUGUAGGCGGAUCAAAAAGUUAGAUGUGAAAUCCCUGGGCUCAACCCAGGAACUGCAUUUAAAACUAGUGAUCUAGAAUUUGGUAGGGGUUAGUAGAAUUUCCAGUGUAGAGGUGAAAUUCGUAGAUAUUGGAAAGAAUACCAGUGGCGAAGGCGACUAACUGGGCCAUUUUUGACGCUGAGAUACGAAAGCGUGGGUAGCAAACAGGAUUAGAUACCCUGGUAGUCCACGCAGUAAACGAUGAGUGCUAGUCGCUGGGACAAUAGUUUCAGUGUCGAAGCUAACGCAUUAAGCACUCCGCCUGGGAAGUACGGUCGCAAGAUUAAAACUCAAAUAAAUUGACGGGGGCCCGCACAAGCGGUGGAGCAUGUGGUUUAAUUCGAAGCAACGCGAAGAACCUUACCAGACCUUGACAUGGUAUGUUUGAAUUACAGAAUCGUAAUUCUUCAGUUCGGCUGGCAUACACACAGGUGCUGCAUGGCUGUCGUCAGCUCGUGUCGUGAGAUGUUGGGUUAAGUCCCGCAACGAGCGCAACCCUCAUUUUUAGUUGCCAUCAGGUUAAGCUGGGCACUCUAAAAAAACUGCCGGUGAUAAGCUGGAGGAAGGCGGGGAUGACGUCAAGUCCUCAUGGCCCUUACGGUCUGGGCUACACACGUGCUACAAUGGUGGUGACAGUGGGCAGCAAUACUGCAAAGUAAAGCUAAUCCCAAAAAACCAUCUCAGUUCGGAUUGGACUCUGCAACUCGAGUCCAUGAAGUUGGAAUCGCUAGUAAUCGUAGAUCAGCGUGCUACGGUGAAUACGUUCUCGGGCCUUGUACACACCGCCCGUCACGCCAUGGGAGUUGGUUUUACCUUAAGCCGGUGCGCUAACCGCAAGGAAGCAGCCGUCCACGGUAGGGUCAGCGACUGGGGCGAAGUCGUAACAAGGUAACCGUAGGGGAACCUGCGGUUGGAUCACCUCCUUU